This 274-nucleotide ribosomal RNA is filed under the name uncultured bacterium. RNAcentral describes it as "partial 16S ribosomal RNA". It matches the Rfam family "Bacterial small subunit ribosomal RNA", at positions 523 to 796 of the family's 1533-position model. The record is from RNAcentral.
AUACGGAGGGGGCUAGCGUUGUUCGGAAUUACUGGGCGUAAAGCGCGCGUAGGCGGAUUGGUCAGUUAGGGGGGAAAUCCCAGGGCUUAACCCUGGAACUGCCUCUAAUACUGCCAGUCUUGAGUUCGGGAGAGGUGAGUGGAAUUCCUAGUGUAGAGGUGAAAUUCGUAGAUAUUAGGAAGAACACCAGUGGCGAAGGCGGCUCACUGGCCCGAUACUGACGCUGAGGCGCGAAAGCGUGGGGAGCAAACAGGAUUAGAUACCCUAGUAGUCC